RNAcentral lists this ribosomal RNA (764 nucleotides) under Rhodococcus sp. (in: high G+C Gram-positive bacteria). Its description in RNAcentral is "bacterial SSU rRNA". It matches the Rfam family "Bacterial small subunit ribosomal RNA", at positions 43 to 824 of the family's 1533-position model. Lineage: Bacteria; Bacillati; Actinomycetota; Actinomycetes; Mycobacteriales; Nocardiaceae. The record is from RNAcentral.
CGUGCUUAACACAUGCAAGUCGAGCGGUAAGGCCUUUCGGGGUACACGAGCGGCGAACGGGUGAGUAACACGUGGGUGAUCUGCCCUGCACUUCGGGAUAAGCCUGGGAAACUGGGUCUAAUACCGGAUAUGACUUCAGGUUGCAUGACUUGGGGUGGAAAGAUUUAUCGGUGCAGGAUGGGCCCGCGGCCUAUCAGCUUGUUGGUGGGGUAAUGGCCUACCAAGGCGACGACGGGUAGCCGACCUGAGAGGGUGACCGGCCACACUGGGACUGAGACACGGCCCAGACUCCUACGGGAGGCAGCAGUGGGGAAUAUUGCACAAUGGGCGAAAGCCUGAUGCAGCGACGCCGCGUGAGGGAUGACGGCCUUCGGGUUGUAAACCUCUUUCAGCAGGGACGAAGCGCAAGUGACGGUACCUGCAGAAGAAGCACCGGCUAACUACGUGCCAGCAGCCGCGGUAAUACGUAGGGUGCAAGCGUUGUCCGGAAUUACUGGGCGUAAAGAGUUCGUAGGCGGUUUGUCGCGUCGUUUGUGAAAACCAGCAGCUCAACUGCUGGCUUGCAGGCGAUACGGGCAGACUUGAGUACUGCAGGGGAGACUGGAAUUCCUGGUGUAGCGGUGAAAUGCGCAGAUAUCAGGAGGAACACCGGUGGCGAAGGCGGGUCUCUGGGCAGUAACUGACGCUGAGGAACGAAAGCGUGGGUAGCGAACAGGAUUAGAUACCCUGGUAGUCCACGCCGUAAACGGUGGGCGCUAGGUGUG